Nematostella vectensis (starlet sea anemone) is the source of this 734-nucleotide long non-coding RNA. RefSeq lists it as uncharacterized. The transcript is spliced from 2 exons. The record is from RefSeq and is a predicted model, not a curated record. NCBI's taxonomy places the organism in Eukaryota, Metazoa, Cnidaria, Anthozoa, Actiniaria, Edwardsiidae.
UGCUAAAAUACAUUUGAUGUUGUGACGUAAUUUCCUGUUGGUUCCGCAUGUGCACGAGGUUUUCCUUUGCUAAAGCUCCAGGGGAAGGAAGGAAAAUAAUUUUGUCCUUUAAGAGAGAUCUCAUUCAAAUCUUCCCCGACCCCGGUAAUUCUUCAUUUCACGCCUUGGGUUCCCAAAAAGUUCUACUAGCAUUCAAUCCUUCAAUGACCUACAGACUCUACAAAAAGUUUCCCUUGGACAACAACAUACCUGUUUGUGGCCAUAAGGACUUUGAUGUUACCACGAGGAUCAAAUCCAUCAAGCUGGUUGAUGAGCUCAAGCAUAGUACGCUGAACCUCGUUAUCACCCCCUGCACCAUCGUCAAACCUUGCACCUGACAAACAAAGCAAGGUCAUCAAACUCUGCUGAAAGGUCCACACAAAUAAGAAAAUGUUGACAAACACUGGGAGCUAGGAGAGGUUACCUAAGAAAAUGAUUUGAAAAAUAUGAUAUGACUAAAACAAAACCUCCCCACUGCUCUAAAUUCUGGCUAGAAUUCCUGUAGGUUCCAUAAAAUGGCAAAAACAUUAGAAUGGAUUGUUCGAUUCUUAAAACAUACCGGAUCACAGAUCUUUUGAUUUUUGGAUUCUGAUAAUCAAGCCUGUGAUUGCGCCAAUUUUUGACUUUAAUGAUUUUGUGAUUGUUUUCCUCAACCAUGUGUUUCAGAUUCAGAUUAAAGCAAAACUUUGUGUGGA